This 447-nucleotide ribosomal RNA is filed under the name uncultured bacterium. Its description in RNAcentral is "bacterial SSU rRNA". It matches the Rfam family "Bacterial small subunit ribosomal RNA", at positions 329 to 793 of the family's 1533-position model. The record is from RNAcentral.
UGCCAGACUCCUACGGGAGGCAGCAGUGGGGAAUAUUGCACAAUGGGGGAAACCCUGAUGCAGCGACGCCGCGUGAGCGAUGAAGUAUUUCGGUAUGUAAAGCUCUAUCAGCAGGGAAGAAAAUGACGGUACCUGACUAAGAAGCCCCGGCUAACUACGUGCCAGCAGCCGCGGUAAUACGUAGGGGGCAAGCGUUAUCCGGAUUUACUGGGUGUAAAGGGAGCGUAGACGGCUGUGCAAGCCAGAUGUGAAAGCCCGGGGCUCAACCCUGGGACUGCAUUUGGAACUGUGUGGCUGGAGUGUCGGAGAGGCAGGCGGAAUUCCUAGUGUAGCGGUGAAAUGCGUAGAUAUUAGGAGGAACACCAGUGGCGAAGGCGGCCUGCUGGACGAUGACUGACGUUGAGGCUCGAAAGCGUGGGGAGCAAACAGGAUUAGAUACCCCGGUAG